Molecule: ribosomal RNA, 146 nt
Filed under: Cortinarius disjungendulus
Lineage: Eukaryota; Fungi; Basidiomycota; Agaricomycetes; Agaricales; Cortinariaceae
Also listed under: 1 other name
Description: 5.8S ribosomal RNA
Rfam family: 5.8S ribosomal RNA
About the family: 5.8S ribosomal RNA (5.8S rRNA) is a component of the large subunit of the eukaryotic ribosome. It is transcribed by RNA polymerase I as part of the 45S precursor that also contains 18S and 28S rRNA. Functionally, it is thought that 5.8S rRNA may be involved in ribosome translocation.
Source: RNAcentral
CUUUCAGCAACGGAUCUCUUGGCUCUCGCAUCGAUGAAGAACGCAGCGAAAUGCGAUAAGUAAUGUGAAUUGCAGAAUUCAGUGAAUCAUCGAAUCUUUGAACGCACCUUGCGCUCCUUGGUAUUCCGAGGAGCAUGCCUGUUUGA